Notechis scutatus (mainland tiger snake) is the source of this 107-nucleotide non-coding RNA. The record is from RefSeq and is a predicted model, not a curated record. NCBI's taxonomy places the organism in Eukaryota, Metazoa, Chordata, Lepidosauria, Squamata, Elapidae.
CUUAGGUGUGGAAAUCCACUAUGCCACACAAAUCAGCUGAACUGAAAAACAUGAAAAUAUAGGACAGGAUAGGGUGGGGUGAGGCCAGUCAGAGGUGGUAUUUGCCG